UGGGGAAUUUUGGACAAUGGGGGAAACCCUGAUCUAGCCAUCCCGCGUGUGCGAUGAAGGCCUUCGGGUUGUAAAGCACUUUUGGCAGGAAAGAAACGUCAUGGGUUAAUACCCCGUGAAACUGACGGUACCUGCAGAAUAAGCACCGGCUAACUACGUGCCAGCAGCCGCGGUAAUACGUAGGGUGCAAGCGUUAAUCGGAAUUACUGGGCGUAAAGCGUGCGCAGGCGGUUCGGAAAGAAAGAUGUGAAAUCCCAGAGCUCAACUUUGGAACUGCAUUUUUAACUACCGAGCUAGAGUGUGUCAGAGGGAGGUGGAAUUCCGCGUGUAGCAGUGAAAUGCGUAGAUAUGCGGAGGAACACCGAUGGCGAAGGCAGCCUCCUGGGAUAACACUAACGCUCAUGCACGAAAGCGUGGGGGGCAAACAAG
Molecule: ribosomal RNA, 429 nt
Filed under: Acidobacteriota bacterium
Lineage: Bacteria; Pseudomonadati; Acidobacteriota
Description: Acidobacteria bacterium partial 16S ribosomal RNA
Rfam family: Bacterial small subunit ribosomal RNA
Source: RNAcentral